AUGAACCGCUUUCGGGCGGGGAUUAGUGGCGAACGGGUGAGUAACACGUGGGCAAUCUGCCCUGCACUCUGGGACAAGCCCUGGAAACGGGGUCUAAUACCGGAUAUGACCGUCUGCCGCAUGGUGGAUGGUGUAAAGCUCCGGCGGUGCAGGAUGAGCCCGCGGCCUAUCAGCUUGUUGGUGAGGUAGUGGCUCACCAAGGCGACGACGGGUAGCCGGCCUGAGAGGGCGACCGGCCACACUGGGACUGAGACACGGCCCAGACUCCUACGGGAGGCAGCAGUGGGGAAUAUUGCACAAUGGGCGAAAGCCUGAUGCAGCGACGCCGCGUGAGGGAUGACGGCCUUCGGGUUGUAAACCUCUUUCAGCAGGGAAGAAGCGAAAGUGACGGUACCUGCAGAAGAAGCGCCGGCUAACUACGUGCCAGCAGCCGCGGUAAUACGUAGGGCGCAAGCGUUGUCCGGAAUUAUUGGGCGUAAAGAGCUCGUAGGCGGCUUGUCACGUCGGUUGUGAAAGCCCGGGGCUUAACCCCGGGUCUGCAGUCGAUACGGGCAGGCUAGAGUUCGGUAGGGGAGAUCGGAAUUCCUGGUGUAGCGGUGAAAUGCGCAGAUAUCAGGAGGAACACCGGUGGCGAAGGCGGAUCUCUGGGCCGAUACUGACGCUGAGGAGCGAAAGCGUGGGGAGCGAACAGGAUUAGAUACCCUGGUAGUCCACGCCGUA
Molecule: ribosomal RNA, 720 nt
Filed under: Streptomyces sp. 8-23
Lineage: Bacteria; Bacillati; Actinomycetota; Actinomycetes; Kitasatosporales; Streptomycetaceae
Description: bacterial SSU rRNA
Rfam family: Bacterial small subunit ribosomal RNA
Source: RNAcentral